GUGGUCCCCAACCUUUUUAUUACCACAGACCGGUUGUCUUGGCCUUUUUAUCACAGCCUGUGGGGUUUACCCUGACUGGGAACGAGAAUACAACCUGCUGAAUGUGACAGGUAGCCAAUCAGAAAGCG
Molecule: long non-coding RNA, 128 nt
Organism: Poecilia latipinna (sailfin molly)
Lineage: Eukaryota; Metazoa; Chordata; Actinopteri; Cyprinodontiformes; Poeciliidae
Exons: 2
Source: RefSeq, a predicted model, not a curated record